GAUGAACGCUGGCGGCGUGCCUAAUACAUGCAAGUCGAGCGAACAGACGAGGAUCUUGCUCCUCUGACGUUAGCGGCGGACGGGUGAGUAACACGUGGUUAACCUACCUAUAAGACUGGGAUAACUUCGGGAAACCGGAGCUAAUACCGGAUAAUAUAUUCAACCGCAUGGUUCAAUAGUGAAAGACGGUUUUGCUGUCACUUAUAGAUGGAUCCGCGCCGCAUUAGCUAGUUGGUAAGGUAACGGCUUACCAAGGCAACGAUGCGUAGCCGACCUGAGAAGGUGAAGGGCACCACAGGAACUGAGACACGGUCCAGAGACCUACGGGAGGCAGAGAUAGGGAAUCUUGCGACAUGGGCGAAAGCCUGACGGAGCGACGACGGGUGAGUGAUGAAGGUCUGCGGAUCGUAUAACUCCGUUAUUAGGGAAGAACAAAUGUAUAAGUGACUAUGCACGUCUUGACGGUACCUAAUGAGAAAGCCACGGCUAACUACGUG
Molecule: ribosomal RNA, 497 nt
Filed under: uncultured bacterium
Lineage: Bacteria
Description: partial 16S ribosomal RNA
Rfam family: Bacterial small subunit ribosomal RNA
Source: RNAcentral